Molecule: small RNA, 5579 nt
Filed under: Pongo abelii (Sumatran orangutan)
Lineage: Eukaryota; Metazoa; Chordata; Mammalia; Primates; Hominidae
Description: retained intron
Source: RNAcentral
GUCAUUCAUGAACUAGAAAGUGGUUCAUCAGAACCCGUGGAGCCAGGCAUGUCAUAGAGAGGACAUCUUCAGAGUUUCUGGGUCCGAUCCCAUCACUGCCUGUGAGCCAAAUGACCGAAAGAACUCACUUUAUUCUAGCAUCUCCCUUUCCUCGUCUCUAUAACCUCAAAUUUGGUGUCUGCUUCCAGGAUUUUCUCUGUCAAGAAUGUUUCAUGGCUUGUUAUUUCCUGACCCCAAACCAGUACUUCAUUUUAGAUUUUUACUGCUUCACUAAGGAAAAUCCUUAGAGCCCUGAAGUUUGUGCCAACUUGCUGUCAACUGCUGAAUGCUUUAGUGAGGGUAGUUUGGAAGAGCCUUCAAAAGAUAGUACAGAAGCCCAGUUGUCAGCCACAUGUAACAUGUUAGCCAUAGAACAUCAGGUUUCAGAGGGACCCCUUCUCCCUGUCACACCUCUGACUAGAAGAAAAUAAUCUGGAGAGUCACAGCUCUGGGAAUAGCUGUCAGUCCUGCCAUAGAAGGAGGGAUUUUGAGUAUUCGGAGGAAUCAGUUGUCUGAUAGAAAGAGCUAAGUCAAGGAGAAAGGAGGUGGCUGCUGGAGGGGAGAAGGAAAACCUGUCACUGUUGGCGACAUUCUUCAGAUGGGAUCUUAGGGAAAACAGUCAGAAACUCACUUGGGUGCUCAUGUCCCCAAAUAUUCCAUAUAGCGCAGUGCAGCCUAGUUUAUGUAUUGAAAGAGCAGGCUCUGAAGAAACACUGAGUUGGAUUCAAAUCCUAGUUCCACCAGUUUCUAAUGUUAUAAACUUGCACAUAUUACCUAAUCACUUUGAACCUCAGAUUUCCAUACCUCUAAAAUGGAAAUACAAAUUGAACCCGCCUCACGGUCUUGUGAGGAUGAAAUGAAGCAAUGUGGGAAGCACUGGGCACAGAGGCAUGGCUUAAGAAAUGGGAUUUAGGACUAUAUAUAGAACUUUGACAAGGUUCUGGAACAACUCAUUCAGGGUUAGGAAACAAGGAGGAUUGCUUGUAUUAAUAACAUAACCUCAGGGGAAGCAGCCAGUUUUAGGACUCAGCCACUAUCCAUGCCAUUAACAGGAGCUGUCCACUCCCUGCAGGCUGACUUGACGUCAUUGAGAGGAAGAAUGUAUUAUUUAAUUUUGGAAGAUCCCUCACCCUUUAGGUGCGGAUGUGACUGAUGCCAAUGAUUCCUCAACCAGCAAGGCUGGAAGGAGAGGCAAGGGAGAGGCAGGCUCUUUUUUUUUUUUCUCCUCAUGAUUAGGAUAGAUAAAUGGUAACAAAGUAAACCUGGCUUGAAUAAUUUUCAAGGCUAGUCAAAAGUAAAAGGUCUCUAGAAAAUUUAGACAGGAUGUAUCCAGUUUGCUUGCACUAUUAUGUAGCAUGUUAAUCUGCCAUUCCAUAUACUUUGCUUUCUCUUUCCUUCUACACUACAUAAGUAAUUGGAAAAUAAUUAGGAUAGAAACGGCAUCAUCAAUAUUAUCUAGUUUAAUGCCCCAUGUUCCUCUCUAACAUCUAUGAAAUACAUGAUAUGUCUUGAAGAAUUCCCUUCCUCUCCUACCUGUUGUGUCUGAUGCAGGGUGUCAUGCACAGUGAGAGUUCAGAGCGUAGGCUCAGAGCAUAAUUAUACUUUCACAGCAUAUAUGAUAGGAAAAGUUUCACUGUCAAAGGGAAUAUGAUAGAAUUCUCUCACUUCUGUGCAAAUUGCUAUGUUUGGAAGUCAAAAAGACCCAGGCGUGAGUAGGAAAAAAAACCUUUUCAUAUAUAUAUAUAUAUAUAUAUAUCCCCAGAAUACUAUAUUAAAUUGAUGAAAAUAACAACCAAUAAAAAGCCAACCAGGUCAGGCGCAGUGGCUCACACCUGUAAUUCUAGCACUUUGGAAGGCCGAGGCAGGCAGAUCACCUAAGGUCAGGAGUUUGAGACCAGCCUGGCCAACAUGGUAGAACCCCAUCUCUACAAAAGAUACAAUAGUUAGCUGGGCGUGGUGGUGUGUGCCUGUAGUCCCAGCUACUCGGGAGGCUGAGGCAAGAGAAUUUUUAGAACCUGGGAGAUGGAGGUUGCAGUGAGCCGAGAUCGUGCCACUACACUCCAGCCUGGAUCAGGAGGGAGACUGUCUCCGAAACAGAAAAAAACCAACCAGAGAAACUUCAGUCUGAGCUUUUCCUUCUCAAAUAGGUUUUAGAUGCAGAAAGUUGGAGUAGGAUUUUUGCUUGUGUUUUUCUUGUAGAAAAAGUAAAAAUAUAAGGAUUAGAAGAAAUUAAAAUGAUAUAAAAUACCAAAAAUGCAAUAUUUGCUAUGUCAUUUUCUUUGGAUGUAAUUGAGAUGAUAUACACUAAAAAUAUCAGUGAUUUUCUUUCUUUUAAACAGGAUUUCAUUUCAGAUGGAUCAAGAAGUGAACGUUGUGAUAUUGUUUCCAAUUUAAUAAGCAAAGGCUGCUCAGUUGAUUCAAUAGAAUACCCAUCUGUGCAUGUUAUAAUACCCACUGAAAAUGAAAUUAAUACCCAGGUGACACCAGGAGAAGUGUCUAUCCAGCUGCGUCCAGGAGCUGAAGCUAAUUUUAUGCUGAAAGUUCAUCCUCUGAAGAAAUAUCCUGUGGAUCUUUAUUAUCUUGUUGAUGUCUCAGCAUCAAUGCACAAUAAUAUAGAAAAAUUAAAUUCCGUUGGAAACGAUUUAUCUAGAAAAAUGGCAUUUUUCUCCCGUGACUUUCGUCUUGGAUUUGGCUCAUACGUUGAUAAAACAGUUUCACCAUACAUUAGCAUCCACCCCGAAAGGAUUCAUAAUCAAUGCAGGUAUCUAGGGUUUGAUGUGGAUAUGCUAAGUUAAUUUUUUGCUUAUAAAAUCUCACUUUGUUUUUAAUGUAAAGAACUUACCAAAUUUUAUAUUUUUGUCUUAUAAAAUAAGAAGAAAAAUAUUUGGUGAGGUGGGGAGGUUUCUUCAUAUCUGAAAACUUCUGAGAUGACCUGCAGAUUGGGCUUUUUAUUUUAUAUUUCUUUAAAUAUUUAGCCGGUUUAUCACCAAAAAAAACCAAAACCAAAAACAAACAAUAAACCCUACCUAAUGUUAGUAACUUUGAAUGAAGCUUCAAUAGUUAGGCUGCCAUGUACAUAAAUACCUCUUUGGAAAUUCUGUGUUUUUAUUUUUUGAUUGCUCCAAAAUUGCUGAAUUAUGAUUUGACACAUUUUAAAGAGUUUGUGCCAACACGUCAUCUAUCUCUCCAUUACUGUACUGUGACUGGGGAUAAUGAUGUUGUCUAUGAUGUGACUACAAAGAAAUCUCAGCUAUCACAAAGAAAGUGGGUCAAAAGAUGAGAAUUUGACUGCUUAGAAAGAGCCUUUUUUCUUAUCAUUUUAGAAUUCGGAUUCUAAAUAACGUAUGUCCCACUAUGAAAGAAUUAACCUUAAAAAUACAAGUGUCUCACACAAUAUUGCCAUUAGCCUGUGGAAUUUUCAGAAAAAUAAAUCUGUAUGGAUCUUUUUUCAUAAAAGACUUUAUCUUUCUUGCUUCUACAAAUUGCUUAGAUUACUUUACAAUACACAUUCCAAUUUACCAAAACAGCUCUGUCAUCUGUUGUUCCAGAAUAGGAUUGAUGCAUCCAUUAAUGGAGUUUCAUAAGCCUUCUUGAGGUGAAUGUACCGGAGGAAUCAUUCUUACUUUCUGGGUAUCAUGGAUUCUCAAAAUAAUUUUAAUGAAUAUUGAUUGUUCAUCAAUAAUUCCACCAAGCAUCAUUUUAAAAAUUAGUGCAGUAUUUAAAAAAAGUAAUAUAUUUCAACUAAAUUCCUCAAAAGCAUUUUCCAGAAGUGUUUCUCAGCUGUUCAACGAUAAGAUAUCACUGCACAUUCUUAUAUUCACCUCAAAAAUUCACAGUGCAGAUUAAAUAUUGAAAGCCCUUAACUGUCCUAUAUUAACAAACACGUUUAAUCAUCUUUAUUUUUUUGAAUACCAAAUGCUUAUAGUCUUAUUUCCUACUUGCAAAGAAAUUGUCAUCAGUAUUGAAUUUAUCUCUAAUUUUAUAAGCAUAGAUUUUUGUCGUAUAAAAUUUCCCUGGCACAAAAGAAGUACUCCCUUUUCACACAACUGCACAAUUUUACUGUUAAGUAUUCCAGAAUGCUUAAGAAGAGCAAAAUAAACUUUACACUUCUUCUUUUCCCACACAGUGACUACAAUUUAGACUGCAUGCCUCCCCAUGGAUACAUCCAUGUGCUGUCUUUGACAGAGAACAUCACUGAGUUUGAGAAAGCAGUUCAUAGACAGAAGAUCUCUGGAAACAUAGAUACACCGGAAGGAGGUUUUGACGCCAUGCUUCAGGCAGCUGUCUGUGAAGUAAGACGUUUCACAUUAUCGAGUGUUUGCUAAGAUGCAAAACUUUCAAAGAAUUUAGAAUUUUUAUUUUCUCUUCGAUUUGUGGAGUGAAAACGUAGUAUAGAAGAAAACAUAUCUUACUAUCUCUUACUCCUCACCAAGGUGAUUCAUUUCGGUAUGUGUUCGGGACAGAGGGGCUAAAUUCGGGGAAGGAUUUAAAUAGGAAAAGACAAAAGGGAAAGAAUAGGUUAUGCACGUGAAAAUUCUUUCCCAAAGGGCUGCUUUUCUCAUGCGCCACACUCCAAGGAGGAACUAGAAGUAGACUGUUGCCCUCCUCACUUCAGCUUGUUCUCCUACUUUUUUUUUUUUUUUGAGAUGGAGUCUCGCUCUGUCACCCAGGGUGGAGUGCAGUGGCGCAAUCUCGGCUCACUGCAAGCUCCGCCUCCCGGGUUCACGCCAUUCUCCUGCCUCAGCCUCUCGAGUAGCUGGGACUACAGGCGCCCGCCACCACACCCGGCUAUUUUUUUGUAUUUUUAGUAGAGACAGGGUUUCACCGUGUUAGCCAGGAUGGUCUCGAUCUCCUGACCUCGUGAUCCGCCCGCCUCGGCCUCCCAAAGUGCUGGGAUUACAGGCAUGAGCCACCGUGCCUGGCCUCUCUUACUUUUUAAUCUAUAUUAUUCUUCCUCCACUGGAACACUAGAAAUCUCUAGCCAGGAACUAGUGUGGUCACAUGGCUGUGGGAAAAUAGAGGAUUUACAAAUAAAAGUUAAAGCUAUUUAUGCAGCAGCGUUGUACCCAUGCACAUCGUUCUAGCCUGACUUACUGUUCGUCAACUCAAACAUAAUGUUUACUUGAGGUAAAAACCACAGUACAGAUCUGUGUUAUUGUACAAAGUCUAAUUAUAUGUUUAUUUUUAAGAGUCAUAUUGGAUGGCGAAAAGAGGCUAAAAGAUUGCUGCUGGUGAUGACAGAUCAGACAUCUCAUCUUGCUCUUGAUAGCAAAUUGGCAGGCAUAGUGGUGCCCAAUGACGGAAACUGCCAUCUGAAAAACAAUGUCUACGUCAAAUCGACAACCAUGGUAAUGUAGCAGUAACCCCUUAGUAGAUAUGACUCUUCUGGUUAAAGUGCAAUUUUAAAUUGGCAACUCAACUAUUUUUGUACCAGGAAAUUACCUAAAAAAGAAAGAUACAGAACAAGGAGAAGCCAUGAGAAUUUAUGGAACAGUGCAAUCUAUAAAUACUGAUCAAUAAAAUAUAUGAAUAAAACAGUU